GAUGAACGCUGGCGGCGUGCUUAACACAUGCAAGUCGAACGAAGCAUUUAGGACAGAUUACUUCGGUUUGAAGUUCUUUAUGACUGAGUGGCGGACGGGUGAGUAACGCGUGGGUAACCUGCCUUGUACUGGGGGAUAGCAGCUGGAAACGGCUGGUAAUACCGCAUAGCGCACAAUGUUGCAUGACAUGGUGUGAAAAACUCCGGUGGUAUAAGAUGGACCCGCGUCUGAUUAGCUAGUUGGUGAGAUAACAGCCCACCAAGGCGACGAUCAGUAGCCGACCUGAGAGGGUGACCGGCCACAUUGGGACUGAGACACGGCCCAGACUCCUACGGGAGGCAGCAGUGGGGAAUAUUGCACAAUGGAGGAAACUCUGAUGCAGCGACGCCGCGUGAGUGAAGAAGUAAUUCGUGAUGUAAAGCUCUAUCAGCAGGGAAGAUAGUGACGGUACCUGACUAAGAAGCUCCGGCUAAAUACGUG
This 480-nucleotide ribosomal RNA is filed under the name uncultured bacterium. Its description in RNAcentral is "partial 16S ribosomal RNA". It matches the Rfam family "Bacterial small subunit ribosomal RNA", at positions 28 to 507 of the family's 1533-position model. The record is from RNAcentral.